GAGUUUGAUCUUGGCUCAGAUUGAACGCUGGCGGCAGGCCUAACACAUGCAAGUCGAGCGGAUGACGGGAGCUUGCUCCUUGAUUCAGCGGCGGACGGGUGAGUAAUGCCUAGGAAUCUGCCUGGUAGUGGGGGACAACGUUUCGAAAGGAACGCUAAUACCGCAUACGUCCUACGGGAGAAAGCAGGGGACCUUCGGGCCUUGCGCUAUCAGAUGAGCCUAGGUCGGAUUAGCUAGUUGGUGGGGUAAUGGCUCACCAAGGCGACGAUCCGUAACUGGUCUGAGAGGAUGAUCAGUCACACUGGAACUGAGACACGGUCCAGACUCCUACGGGAGGCAGCAGUGGGGAAUAUUGGACAAUGGGCGAAAGCCUGAUCCAGCCAUGCCGCGUGUGUGAAGAAGGUCUUCGGAUUGUAAAGCACUUUAAGUUGGGAGGAAGGGCAGUAAGUUAAUACCUUGCUGUUUUGACGUUACCGACAGAAUAAGCA
This 488-nucleotide ribosomal RNA is filed under the name uncultured Gammaproteobacteria bacterium. RNAcentral describes it as "bacterial SSU rRNA". It matches the Rfam family "Bacterial small subunit ribosomal RNA", at positions 9 to 492 of the family's 1533-position model. The record is from RNAcentral. RNAcentral also lists the same sequence under 1 other name. Lineage: Bacteria; Pseudomonadati; Pseudomonadota; Gammaproteobacteria.